This 2198-nucleotide ribosomal RNA is filed under the name Escherichia coli. Its description in RNAcentral is "bacterial LSU rRNA". It matches the Rfam family "Bacterial large subunit ribosomal RNA", at positions 1 to 2226 of the family's 2925-position model. The record is from RNAcentral. Lineage: Bacteria; Pseudomonadati; Pseudomonadota; Gammaproteobacteria; Enterobacterales; Enterobacteriaceae.
UUAAGCGACUAAGCGUACACGGUGGAUGCCCUGGCAGUCAGAGGCGAUGAAGGACGUGCUAAUCUGCGAUAAGCGUCGGUAAGGUGAUAUGAACCGUUAUAACCGGCGAUUUCCGAAUGGGGAAACCCAGUGUGAUUCGUCACACUAUCAUUAACUGAAUCCAUAGGUUAAUGAGGCGAACCGGGGGAACUGAAACAUCUAAGUACCCCGAGGAAAAGAAAUCAACCGAGAUUCCCCCAGUAGCGGCGAGCGAACGGGGAGCAGCCCAGAGCCUGAAUCAGUGUGUGUGUUAGUGGAAGCGUCUGGAAAGGCGCGCGAUACAGGGUGACAGCCCCGUACACAAAAAUGCACAUACUGUGAGCUCGAUGAGUAGGGCGGGACACGUGGUAUCCUGUCUGAAUAUGGGGGGACCAUCCUCCAAGGCUAAAUACUCCUGACUGACCGAUAGUGAACCAGUACCGUGAGGGAAAGGCGAAAAGAACCCCGGCGAGGGGAGUGAAAAAGAACCUGAAACCGUGUACGUACAAGCAGUGGGAGCACGCUUAGGCGUGUGACUGCGUACCUUUUGUAUAAUGGGUCAGCGACUUAUAUUCUGUAGCAAGGUUAACCGAAUAGGGGAGCCGAAGGGAAACCGAGUCUUAACUGGGCGUUAAGUUGCAGGGUAUAGACCCGAAACCCGGUGAUCUAGCCAUGGGCAGGUUGAAGGUUGGGUAACACUAACUGGAGGACCGAACCGACUAAUGUUGAAAAAUUAGCGGAUGACUUGUGGCUGGGGGUGAAAGGCCAAUCAAACCGGGAGAUAGCUGGUUCUCCCCGAAAGCUAUUUAGGUAGCGCCUCGUGAAUUCAUCUCCGGGGGUAGAGCACUGUUUCGGCAAGGGGGUCAUCCCGACUUACCAACCCGAUGCAAACUGCGAAUACCGGAGAAUGUUAUCACGGGAGACACACGGCGGGUGCUAACGUCCGUCGUGAAGAGGGAAACAACCCAGACCGCCAGCUAAGGUCCCAAAGUCAUGGUUAAGUGGGAAACGAUGUGGGAAGGCCCAGACAGCCAGGAUGUUGGCUUAGAAGCAGCCAUCAUUUAAAGAAAGCGUAAUAGCUCACUGGUCGAGUCGGCCUGCGCGGAAGAUGUAACGGGGCUAAACCAUGCACCGAAGCUGCGGCAGCGACGCUUAUGCGUUGUUGGGUAGGGGAGCGUUCUGUAAGCCUGUGAAGGUGUACUGUGAGGUAUGCUGGAGGUAUCAGAAGUGCGAAUGCUGACAUAAGUAACGAUAAAGCGGGUGAAAAGCCCGCUCGCCGGAAGACCAAGGGUUCCUGUCCAACGUUAAUCGGGGCAGGGUGAGUCGACCCCUAAGGCGAGGCCGAAAGGCGUAGUCGAUGGGAAACAGGUUAAUAUUCCUGUACUUGGUGUUACUGCGAAGGGGGGACGGAGAAGGCUAUGUUGGCCGGGCGACGGUUGUCCCGGUUUAAGCGUGUAGGCUGGUUUUCCAGGCAAAUCCGGAAAAUCAAGGCUGAGGCGUGAUGACGAGGCACUACGGUGCUGAAGCAACAAAUGCCCUGCUUCCAGGAAAAGCCUCUAAGCAUCAGGUAACAUCAAAUCGUACCCCAAACCGACACAGGUGGUCAGGUAGAGAAUACCAAGGCGCUUGAGAGAACUCGGGUGAAGGAACUAGGCAAAAUGGUGCCGUAACUUCGGGAGAAGGCACGCUGAUAUGUAGGUGAAGUCCCUCGCGGAUGGAGCUGAAAUCAGUCGAAGAUACCAGCUGGCUGCAACUGUUUAUUAAAAACACAGCACUGUGCAAACACGAAAGUGGACGUAUACGGUGUGACGCCUGCCCGGUGCCGGAAGGUUAAUUGAUGGGGUUAGCGCAAGCGAAGCUCUUGAUCGAAGCCCCGGUAAACGGCGGCCGUAACUAUAACGGUCCUAAGGUAGCGAAAUUCCUUGUCGGGUAAGUUCCGACCUGCACGAAUGGCGUAAUGAUGGCCAGGCUGUCUCCACCCGAGACUCAGUGAAAUUGAACUCGCUGUGAAGAUGCAGUGUACCCGCGGCAAGACGGAAAGACCCCGUGAACCUUUACUAUAGCUUGACACUGAACAUUGAGCCUUGAUGUGUAGGAUAGGUGGGAGGCUUUGAAGUGUGGACGCCAGUCUGCAUGGAGCCGACCUUGAAAUACCACCCUUUAAUGUUUGAUGUUCUAAC